This 802-nucleotide unclassified non-coding RNA is filed under the name Hevea brasiliensis (rubber tree). Lineage: Eukaryota; Viridiplantae; Streptophyta; Magnoliopsida; Malpighiales; Euphorbiaceae. The record is from RNAcentral.
AAGAGCAUUCUUUGCAUCAGGACGAUUAGUUUCCAAUACUCCUGCUACUUUAUCAAUCUUGCAAUGCAACUUCCCAGCUGCAAUGAACCGAGAUAGUUCCAAGUCGAUGAAAUCCUCAGACACCCCAAAAGCCUUGGCCAUGGCCUCAAUAGUAACACUCUUGUAGGACUCCAGGAACUGGGAAUACACAACUGUUCUGACCUCCCUCAUAUAAUAUCUGAAGUGUGGUUGCAAGUAACGAUCCAAUUUAAUAUGCUCCAUCAAGCCAGCAAAUGCUGAGAAAAAUGACUUGUAUUGACAAUCAUAUAACGAGUUCAUAAACUCGGACAGAUAUGGAAUCUUUCCAAUUACAGUCAAGAUCUCUGGCGCAUCCACGACCUUUUGUUUCAAGGAAACCCGGUCCAAGGUAAUGAUGCUCGUAAGGACAGUAUAAAAUAUGAAAGUAUCAUAGGGGAAAAGCUCAUAUGUGGUAAAAGUUGAGAUAGAAUCAAGGAAAAGAUCUGCUGCUUUCUUGAAGUUACGAGUGGACAUGCAGAACAACCCUUCAUACACCUUCAACCUGUUCUUUCUCUCCCAGUCACCCCCCUUUUCGAAUAAUUUCUUUGCCUUAUCUAUGCAUUUAGAGAUGAGGUCAAAAUCCAAGUCAAAUAAUCCCAUCUGCAAGGUAUAGAACACUAGGUCCAUCUUUUGCCCAACUGCAACAGUUUUUUUCUCAGUCACCUUGAGUUGUUCAAGUGCUUUCCCCUUGUCACCAAUUCUAAUGUAGAACAAUGAUUUAGCCAAAUGAGCUUCUCGAACUUCA